This 263-nucleotide non-coding RNA is filed under the name Globicatella sp. RNAcentral's name for it is "T-box sequence". It matches the Rfam family "T-box leader". From Rfam's summary of the family: Uncharged tRNA acts as the effector for transcription antitermination of genes in the T-box leader family. T-boxes are found upstream of many aminoacyl-tRNA synthetase genes and some amino acid biosynthetic genes usually in Gram-positive bacteria. The anticodon of a specific tRNA base pairs to a specifier sequence within the T-box motif, and the NCCA acceptor tail of the tRNA base pairs to a conserved bulge in the T-box antiterminator hairpin. Lineage: Bacteria; Bacillati; Bacillota; Bacilli; Lactobacillales; Aerococcaceae. The record is from RNAcentral.
AUGUUGACUAUGAAGAGAUAAGUAAAGGCUAAGUCUUUUAAAGAGAGCUUGUGGUUGGUGUGAACAAGUAAAGUGAGGUUUUGAAAAUGGUCUUGGAGUCAUGUUGUUAUUCGAGCCAGUUGGUAAGGGUAACCCGGGGUCUCCCGUUAUAGAGAGCGAGUAUAAGCUUAAAUUCUAGAUAAAGCCGUACUCAUAGAGGCAAUUUUAGUAAUAAAAUUGUAAAUAAAGGUGGUACCAUGGAGUCUAUUAACUUCAUCCUUUGC